This 497-nucleotide ribosomal RNA is filed under the name uncultured bacterium. Its description in RNAcentral is "partial 16S ribosomal RNA". It matches the Rfam family "Bacterial small subunit ribosomal RNA", at positions 28 to 507 of the family's 1533-position model. The record is from RNAcentral.
GAUGAACGCUGGCGGCGUGCCUAAUACAUGCAAGUCGAGCGAACGGACGAGAAGCUUGCUUCACUGAUGUUAGCGGCGGACGGGUGAGUAAAACGUGGAUAACCUACCUAUAAGACUGGGAUAACUUCGGGAAACCGGAGCUAAUACCGGAUAAUAUUUUGAACCGCAUGGUUCAAAAGUGAAAGACGGUCUUGCUGUCACUUAUAGAUGGAUCCGCGCUGCAUUAGCUAGUUGGUAAGGUAACGGCUUACCAAGGCAACGAUGCAUAGCCGACCUGAGAGGGUGAUCGGCCACACUGGAACUGAGACACGGUCCAGACUCCUACGGGAGGCAGCAGUAGGGAAUCUUCCGCAAUGGGCGAAAGCCUGACGGAGCAACGCCGCGUGAGUGAUGAAGGUCUUCGGAUCGUAAAACUCUGUUAUUAGGGAAGAACAUAUGUGUAAGUAACUGUGCACAUCUUGACGGUACCUAAUCAGAAAGCCACGGCUAACUACGUG